UCAAUGGAAAACCACUUCUAGCCGCUUCAGAAAGGCAGUCACAAAAUCGCAUGUUCAACAGCAGUUCAAACUGGAAUUUUGAUGACAUACCAAAUUGAGCACUCAGAAUGAAGGUGUGUAGCGUGUGAUCGUCGCAUUGACCAUGACAGAGAAAUUUGUCUUGGUGAUACGUGCUCAGAGGCCUACGCAAAGUCGCAGAAAGUGUAUGGAGAGGAGUGUAUGAGCCGCACACAAGUUUCCAAGGUUCGGACGCUUCCAAGAUGGCCGAAAAAUGUCGAUAUUGACGAACGUUCUGGGAGACCCGCAACUAGCAGAACUGAGAAAAACAUUUCAGAUGUGCGUCCAGAUUCUUCAGUUUCUGGGUAAACCACGCUAAUAGCGCUUCUUCUCUCUAAGAACAACGGGACGUGGAAAAGGCCUUAGCGAUGAAGAAAAGUCUGUCAUUAUCAAGAAAAGUGCUAAAGGCACCUCUGUUCAUGUCAUUACUACUACUACUAUUAUUAUUAUUAUUAAUAUUAUUAUUAUUUGCUGCUGAAUACGUAAGACGUUCUUUCGAACACGCUUUAGUUAUGCUUUAAACUGUGUGUUUUACGCCCUCUUUACGUUAUUAAGUUUUGUUAUAAACUGACAAUAAGAACAUCAGAAACAUUUUGGCAAGGUUCCGGUCGUUGUUUCUGCCCCGGAGGGAGUAGUAUUUAUUCAUUUUAUUAUCUAUUACACCCAGAAAUCUCUUGUGUAAAAAGAAAUGAAGGAAAAAAACUAUCAGUUUUAAAUGUGAACAGAAAUUGCAUCUAUAUGCCAAGGGGAAGACGUUCUAAAAUGAAGUUUAGAAGACGUGGCCCUCUUACAGAAAAGCAGACAAUAAUAAAUAAAUAAAUAAAUCUAUUAAUCCAA
Long non-coding RNA from Octopus bimaculoides (California two-spot octopus), 894 nucleotides. RefSeq lists it as uncharacterized. The record is from RefSeq and is a predicted model, not a curated record. Lineage: Eukaryota; Metazoa; Mollusca; Cephalopoda; Octopoda; Octopodidae.